UGGGGAAUAUUGGACAAUGGGCGAAAGCCUGAUCCAGCCAUGCCGCGUGUGUGAAGAAGGUCUUCGGAUUGUAAAGCACUUUAAGUUGGGAGGAAGGGCAUUAACCUAAUACGUUAGUGUUUUGACGUUACCGACAGAAUAAGCACCGGCUAACUCUGUGCCAGCAGCCGCGGUAAUACAGAGGGUGCAAGCGUUAAUCGGAAUUACUGGGCGUAAAGCGCGCGGAGGUGGGUUGUUAAGUUGGAUGUGAAAUCCCCGGGCUCAACCUGGGAACUGCAUUCAAAACUGACUGACUAGAGUAUGGUAGAGGGUGGUGGAAUUUCCUGUGUAGCGGUGAAAUGCGUAGAUAUAGGAAGGAACACCAGUGGCGAAGGCGACCACCUGGACUAAUACUGACACUGAGGUGCGAAAGCGUGGGGAGCAAACA
Molecule: ribosomal RNA, 427 nt
Filed under: uncultured bacterium
Lineage: Bacteria
Description: partial 16S ribosomal RNA
Rfam family: Bacterial small subunit ribosomal RNA
Source: RNAcentral